AGAGUUUGAUCAUGGCUCAGGACGAACGCUGGCGGCGUGCUUAACACAUGCAAGUCGAACGGAAAGGCCCUUCGGGGUACUCGAGUGGCGAACGGGUGAGUAACACGUGGGUGAUCUGCCCUGCACUUUGGGAUAAGCCUGGGAAACUGGGUCUAAUACCGAAUAUGACCAUGCACUUCCUGGUGUGUGGUGGAAAGCUUUUGCGGUGUGGGAUGGGCCCGCGGCCUAUCAGCUUGUUGGUGGGGUAAUGGCCUACCAAGGCGACGACGGGUAGCCGGCCUGAGAGGGUGACCGGCCGCACUGGGACUGAGAUACGGCCCAGACUCCUACGGGAGGCAGCAGUGGGGAAUAUUGCACAAUGGGCGCAAGCCUGAUGCAGCGACGCCGCGUGAGGGAUGACGGCCUUCGGGUUGUAAACCUCUUUCAGCACAGACGAAGCGCAAGUGACGGUAUGUGCAGAAGAAGGACCGGCCAACUACGUGCCAGCAGCCGCGGUAAUACGUAGGGUCCGAGCGUUGUCCGGAAUUACUGGGCGUAAAGAGCUCGUAGGUGGUUUGUCGCGUUGUACGUGAAAACUCACAGCUUAGCUGUGGGCGUGCGGGCGAUACGGGCAGACUUGAGUACUGCAGGGGAGACUGGAAUUCCUGGUGUAGCGGUGGAAUGCGCAGAUAUCAGGAGGAACACCGGUGGCGAAGGCGGGUCUCUGGGCAGUAACUGACGCCGAGGAGCGAAAGCGUGGGGAGCGAACAGGAUUAGAUACCCCGGUAGUCC
Molecule: ribosomal RNA, 771 nt
Filed under: uncultured bacterium
Lineage: Bacteria
Description: bacterial SSU rRNA
Rfam family: Bacterial small subunit ribosomal RNA
Source: RNAcentral